CUAAAGUGCAGAAGUAUGAACAGCACAGCAAUAACAAUGUGAAAAAUCCGUCAACUGUUACCUGCACUACAAAUCAAUUGAAUUUUCCAGGAAAAGACACAGGGUCUUGAUGAAUUGAGCACGAAUUGGGAUUCCUGUCAGGAAGAUGGAAGGAGGUUCUCGUUCAGCAAGCAGCACUCUGGAACAAGCAGAUGUCUUGAAAUGGUAAUGGCAUCUAAUAUUAGUCAUGCACUUUCUGAAGAAACUGUCUUCAACAAUCAAGCUCCAGGAUGGUUCACAAGAGAACUGUUGAAAGAACUGAAUGGGGGAACAAGAGUUGUAUGGCGCAUCUGAACUCAUGCAUGAAAAAAUCGACACAUGGAAUGUAAACGGUUGGCCACCCCUGCCCUAAAGAUUAACCUCAAGGAUGAGUUGGUGAAGAAGUGCCAAGGGAAGUGGUUUCUCUGAAGCUACCGAUCUGCUCUACCUCAGAGAUGUUAGGGGAGCGUUAAAAGACUUAUAACAGAGUUAUAAAUAAAAAUGAAUAGGCGAGCCUGUGGAAAAAAAUCAUAUAAUUUAUUCUUUUGAAUAAAAGUGGUGCAGUCUGAUUUACUUGUUUGCCGCACUGCGACAGCUCUGAAGUUUCGAUACCUUGUGGGGGGCGUUGCCUGAGUUGUCUGCUGCCACUGGCCUGAAUAUCGAUCUCUGGAAACUCUCGGGAACAGCAGCUAAAGAAAAGGUCGACGACAAACUAGAGACACAGAUCAGAGGAAAUGUGAAGUGGAGGUGUUAUCUGGGGAAUGAGGAAGAAGUUUGUCCAUGAAGAAUCAGUCCCAAAAUUUCAUUCAACAUUCCCAGCAUCUCUUUUCCUUUGGGGAUCUAUAGCAUCAAUUCCGCUCUGUCUUUGUAUCGAAUGAUUCAGCCUUGGUGCAAUUAUUACCAGACAGAGGCCAUAUUUUUAUGAUUUACUAAUUAUUAAUUAAGGAAGAAUAUAUUUGAAGUUUUGAGUGCAAUCUUUGUGUUGCUGAUCUUUGCUACAUUAACACCAUGGUAUAGACAGUUGACUAAGUGCAUUAACU
This is a long non-coding RNA of Hypanus sabinus (Atlantic stingray), 1058 nucleotides long. RefSeq lists it as uncharacterized. The transcript has 5 exons. The record is from RefSeq and is a predicted model, not a curated record. NCBI's taxonomy places the organism in Eukaryota, Metazoa, Chordata, Chondrichthyes, Myliobatiformes, Dasyatidae.